This 232-nucleotide ribosomal RNA is filed under the name uncultured bacterium. RNAcentral's name for it is "partial 16S ribosomal RNA". It matches the Rfam family "Bacterial small subunit ribosomal RNA", at positions 28 to 261 of the family's 1533-position model. The record is from RNAcentral.
GACGAACGCUGGCGGCGUGCUUAACACAUGCAAGUCGAGCGGUAAGGCCCUUUCGGGGGUACACGAGCGGCGAACGGGUGAGUAACACGUGAGUGACCUGCCCUCAGCUCUGGGAUAAGCCUGGGAAACCGGGUCUAAUACCGGAUAUGACUCCAUGACGCAUGUUGUGGGGUGGAAAGCCUUGUGCGGCUGAGGAUGGGCCCGCGGCCUAUCAGCUUGUUGGUGGGGGGAU